RNAcentral lists this unclassified non-coding RNA (306 nucleotides) under Hevea brasiliensis (rubber tree). The record is from RNAcentral. Lineage: Eukaryota; Viridiplantae; Streptophyta; Magnoliopsida; Malpighiales; Euphorbiaceae.
GGCAGACAUCCGCCUGAUGCCUGUAAUUCCCAAACCCAGAAGAACCAGCUACAAGAACCGCCCAUCUGGUACCCACUUUUUGAUCAUCAUCAUCACCACCAUCCACUUCUUCCUUCUCCGUCGGCAUUCGGAUGGUUCUCUCCCACCGGUCCCACGGCGAGGCGUUGGCGCCGCCGUAAGCAAGAAACAGAAGAAGCAACAGCAGAAGAUUGGAGGUAAAUGGGGCAGCCAUGGAGAAAGGAAGCUAAAAUUGGGUGAAACGAGAAGUGGGUGUGGAUUAAAAGACUGAAAAUGUGGGAAAUGGAA